UACGUAGGGUGCGAGCGUUAAUCGGAAUUACUGGGCGUAAAGUGUGCGCAGGUGGCCGCGCAAGUCGAGUGUGAAAUCCCCGAGCUUAACUUGGGAAUUGCGCUCGAAACUACGUGGCUCGAGUGUGGCAGAGGAAGGUGGAAUUCCACGUGUAGCGGUGAAAUGCGUAGAGAUGUGGAGGAACACCGGUGGCGAAGGCAGCCUUCUGGGCCAACACUGACGCUCAUGCACGAAAGCGUGGGGAGCAAACAGG
Molecule: ribosomal RNA, 253 nt
Filed under: uncultured bacterium
Lineage: Bacteria
Description: partial 16S ribosomal RNA
Rfam family: Bacterial small subunit ribosomal RNA
Source: RNAcentral